RNAcentral lists this small RNA (28 nucleotides) under Bombyx mori (domestic silkworm). Its description in RNAcentral is "ovarian small RNA-34117". Lineage: Eukaryota; Metazoa; Arthropoda; Insecta; Lepidoptera; Bombycidae. The record is from RNAcentral.
UGCUAGUGGUGGCCGCACACACGGCUAG